CUCUGCUUUCCUUUUUCCAAAACGCGUGUCAGAACACUGAUUUAACCUGUCAUUACUGUCUCCUCUGCUUCCACUCCAGGUAGAAUGCUGCAUCCCUGCACAGCUCCUGGCAGGUAGCACGAAAAGACAGAUGAUUUUGACUCGGGAAAAUAGUUGAUGGAAGGUGAAGAAGUGGACAUUGGUCCAGACAUGGACACACCAAAUUGGUCUGAAGAAAGUGACAAGGAAAACGAUCAACAGCCAUUAAGCAGAGAAGACUCUGGAAUUCAGGUAGACAGGACACCUUUAGAAGAACAAGAUCAAAACAGAAAACUGGAUCCUUGUAUCAGCUGGAAAGGUACUGUGUGUUGUGAGGUGCUAACAUUUUCUAAUAGACAAAUUCCCCAGAAGAAAAGGCAAGCUUGAGAUCAGUUUGAUGUGAUCAAGGUAUCGGCUAAGCAGUAUCAUCUU
Molecule: long non-coding RNA, 450 nt
Organism: Callithrix jacchus (white-tufted-ear marmoset)
Lineage: Eukaryota; Metazoa; Chordata; Mammalia; Primates; Cebidae
Source: RefSeq, a predicted model, not a curated record